GAACUGAAGAGUUUGAUCCUGGCUCAGAUUGAACGCUGGCGGCAUGCCUUACACAUGCAAGUCGAACGGCAGCACGGGUGCUUGCACCUGGUGGCGAGUGGCGAACGGGUGAGUAAUACAUCGGAACAUGUCCUGUAGUGGGGGAUAGCCCGGCGAAAGCCGGAUUAAUACCGCAUACGAUCCAUGGAU
RNAcentral lists this ribosomal RNA (189 nucleotides) under Burkholderia gladioli. RNAcentral describes it as "partial 16S ribosomal RNA". It matches the Rfam family "Bacterial small subunit ribosomal RNA", at positions 1 to 187 of the family's 1533-position model. Lineage: Bacteria; Pseudomonadati; Pseudomonadota; Betaproteobacteria; Burkholderiales; Burkholderiaceae. The record is from RNAcentral.